GAUAAACGCUGGCGGCGUGCCUUAUGCAUGCAAGUCGAACGAUUUAUCGCAAGAUAGAUAGUGGCAGACGGGUGAGUAACACGUAAGUGACCUAUCCUCGAGUGGGGAAUAACCCCGGGAACUGGGGCUAAUACCGCAUGAUGCGCUAGGGUUAGUACCUUAGCAUCAAAGCCGCAAGGCGCUUGAGGUUGGGCUUGCGUCCUAUCAGGUAGUUGGUAGGGUAACGGCCUACCAAGCCUAUGACGGGUAGCUGGUCUGAGAGGAUGUCCAGCCACACUGGGACUGAGAUACGGCCCAGACUCCUACGGGAGGCUG
RNAcentral lists this ribosomal RNA (315 nucleotides) under uncultured bacterium. Its description in RNAcentral is "bacterial SSU rRNA". It matches the Rfam family "Bacterial small subunit ribosomal RNA", at positions 28 to 351 of the family's 1533-position model. The record is from RNAcentral.